RNAcentral lists this ribosomal RNA (40 nucleotides) under Tapinella panuoides. Its description in RNAcentral is "partial 28S ribosomal RNA". Lineage: Eukaryota; Fungi; Basidiomycota; Agaricomycetes; Boletales; Tapinellaceae. The record is from RNAcentral.
UUUUGACCUCAAAUCAGGUAGGAUUACCCGCUGAACUUAA